GAUAUGUAACCCUGAUCGAAGAGUCCCAAACCAGUGGGACUCUUGACCCCGGUAUCCAAAAUGUGUGGGACUCGUGAUCAGAAAAUCCUGAUUCUCGAUCACAGAGUCUCAGACAUAUAAGACUCAUAGUCCAUGAGUAUUAAGACUCUUCAUCAGCCAUCAGAUCAGAUAGGAACCUCUAAUGUGUGUGACCCCGCAGGUUCGAACCUAAGCUGGUAGCACAGGAACCAAUUCCUGUACUAAUCGAAGUGACCAUCUAGCAAUGGUACCCGAUGACCGGAU
RNAcentral lists this long non-coding RNA (282 nucleotides) under Elaeis guineensis (African oil palm). Its description in RNAcentral is "long non-coding RNA (EGUI_LNC060551)". Lineage: Eukaryota; Viridiplantae; Streptophyta; Magnoliopsida; Arecales; Arecaceae. The record is from RNAcentral.